Molecule: ribosomal RNA, 323 nt
Filed under: uncultured bacterium
Lineage: Bacteria
Description: bacterial SSU rRNA
Rfam family: Bacterial small subunit ribosomal RNA
Source: RNAcentral
GAUGAACGCUGGCGGCGUGCUUAACACAUGCAAGUCGAACGAGAAUCAACGGAUUGAGGAUUCGUCCAAAUGAAGUUGAGGAAAGUGGCGGACGGGUGAGUAACGCGUGAGGAACCUGCCUCGGAGUGGGGAAUAACAGUUGGAAACAGCUGCUAAUACCGCAUAAUACAACGGAAUCGCAUGACUCUGUUGCCAAAGAUUUAUCGCUGAGAGAUGGGCUCGCGGCCGAUUAGGUAGUUGGUGAGAUAACAGCCCACCAAGCCGACGAUCGGUAGCCGGACUGAGAGGUUGAUCGGCCACAUUGGGACUGAGACACGGCCCAG